RNAcentral lists this ribosomal RNA (425 nucleotides) under uncultured bacterium. RNAcentral's name for it is "bacterial SSU rRNA". It matches the Rfam family "Bacterial small subunit ribosomal RNA", at positions 354 to 796 of the family's 1533-position model. The record is from RNAcentral.
GUGGGGGAUAUUGCACAAUGGGGGAAACCCUGAUGCAGCGACGCCGCGUGAAGGAAGAAGUAUUUCGGUAUGUAAACUUCUAUCAGCAGGGAAGAAAAUGACGGUACCUGACUAAGAAGCACCGGCUAAAUACGUGCCAGCAGCCGCGGUAAUACGUAUGGUGCAAGCGUUAUCCGGAAUUACUGGGUGUAAAGGGAGCGUAGGCGGAUAGGUAAGUCAGAUGUGAAAGACCGGGGCUCAACCCCGGGGCUGCAUUUGAAACUAUCUAACUAGAGUACAGGAGAGGUAAGCGGAAUUCCUAGUGUAGCGGUGAAAUGCGUAGAUAUUAGGAGGAACAUCGGUGGCGAAGGCGGCUUACUGGACUGAAACUGACGCUGAGGCUCGAAAGCGUGGGGAGCAAACAGGAUUAGAAACCCUAGUAGUCC